This is a long non-coding RNA of Solenopsis invicta (red fire ant), 426 nucleotides long. RefSeq lists it as uncharacterized. The record is from RefSeq and is a predicted model, not a curated record. Lineage: Eukaryota; Metazoa; Arthropoda; Insecta; Hymenoptera; Formicidae. The transcript has 2 exons.
CUCGCGUCGCGCGAGGGUUUACCAGCGUUUCACCGGUGGUGACGGGUGACGGGGACGGUCGACGGUCGGCGGUCGGCGGCGCGACGCGGCGCGGUGCGACACAAGUGCGCCGAAAGGUAUCGUCGAGAUGAGGUGCGCCCGCGUCGCGCCGCGCGCGCCUCGCGCACCGAAGCACUCUCCAACUCUGCCUAUCUGAUAUGGGAUCUGGAGGACGCGCUCCGCUUUCGGCUUAUUUGCCGAAAGUACGAUAUUCUGUAGUAUGUACACUGGAGUGAAGAGCUAAUGGUAUACCUUUAUUCUUCUACAAUCAGCUAUUACGUAAAAAUCACAUUUAAUCUUCCAGAGUUUACGUUGGGUCUAUAUGCACCAUUCAUCAUUAAUCUUGGAUAUUGUUAUUAAAAUAAACUUAAUUAGUGUCCAUUCUUA